UAUUUUAUUUUACUUUGCUGACUGUAAUGUAUGUUGUGAACAGCUAGAUAAUGACAUAGACCUAAAUGCAACACGUUUGGGGGACCCCGUUGGAAAUUUCCCAAAGAAUCUACGUCCUUUUGCAACCCUGGGAAAUGCAAGGAGAAAGGUAGAAGAAAACUGUGAAGAGAAGCAAAAUAUAAGGUACCGACGACCAUGUGGUGAAGGGGGAGGGAGGAAAGGAUGGUUACAACUCAUCUAUCUUAAAUGUCUAGUAAAGCUGUAUUGCUGUAUCAGAAGCAGAGAUUCCAUCAUACAAGCAGUUGCCUCAGUUAACUAUUAUUUUCUUAACUUUUAGGAAACAAAUAAAAGCAGCAUUUGUUCUACCAGAAGCAGUUGUUAUAUUAUUUAAGAGCUGGAAUUAUUUGUUUGGUGGUGCCAGGUUUUUCGGCUUGGCUCUCGCUCAGGUGGGGAAGAUCAGCUUUGACAAACAGUGUGCACCUGGGCCAGGUGUGGGCUGUUUGCUGGCUGGCCCAGGCUUUGGCUGCAGCUGGGGGAAAUCAGCCCCGCCAAGCUACCCACAGGGCUCCAGCUCCCCAGUUUUGGGGUGUGGGUGCUAGGUGUAUGUGCACCUUGGGAGAAGGGGGCUGCUUUGCAAAGACUUGUUUUGGAGGGGAGCAGUGAGUGCAGCAACGUGGCCUCUCCAAGCUCAUGAGGUGGCAACUGCCUCUCUGUUUACCAGUCACCUGCUGCUCUACAGGUGGCCAGGAAUGUUUCGAAAGGAACAUUUCUACAGGAUUGGAGUGAAGUGGUUUCUGAGGACUUUGGACCUGGGCUCUGGUUGAAGACUGUGCCACGACUGGGAUACAGGCAACUGUGGGGCUGCUGGUGGUGCAGAGAAAGAGAAUGCAGCGUGGAGGCAGCGGUCAGUGUGAUUUGUUUUCUCAGCGAUGCAAAUCACAUCAGAGAUGUCCAUAAGACUAUUUACUGCUUUCAGCUCAGAUUGGAAGGGCAGCAGGUGACUGGGAUGUUUCCUGUUGAUCACAAGGAGCUGGUGUCAGGCCCUGCAUGACCUACCCACGACACCAGAUGGACCAGAGCUGUACAAAAUGGAUUCCUGGUCUCGUUCGUCCCCUUCGCCCUCAGGGUAAUGGCAUGGUUGGUUUCUAACCCAAAAGUCCUACUCUGCAGCCUGCUCUCAACAUACCUGGAAGCCCAGCUUCUUUUAGCUGCUGGGUGCUGGAGGUAGAUUUAU
Molecule: long non-coding RNA, 1234 nt
Organism: Oxyura jamaicensis (ruddy duck)
Lineage: Eukaryota; Metazoa; Chordata; Aves; Anseriformes; Anatidae
Exons: 5
Source: RefSeq, a predicted model, not a curated record